This is a long non-coding RNA of Esox lucius (northern pike), 756 nucleotides long. The record is from Ensembl. NCBI's taxonomy places the organism in Eukaryota, Metazoa, Chordata, Actinopteri, Esociformes, Esocidae.
CUUAGUUUCUUCUUGAUUAGGGUUUCAUGUUGGUAAGUUAUCAGGGUUGUUAUAAGUUAAAAAGGUUGAAAAGAGAGACAUCUGCACUUUUCAUAAGGGACAUUGAGAUACAGGGUGAGUGGAAUAUGUCAGAGGUGAUGUUGUUGCUGGAGGUGAUGGUGAUGCUGGAGGUGAUGGUGAUGCUGGAGGUAAUGUUGCUGGAGGGGAUGGGGAUGCUGGAGGUGAUGGUGAUGCUGGAGGUAAUGUUGCUGGAGGGGAUGGUGUUGCUGGAGGUGAUGGUGAUGCUGGAGGUAAUGGGGAUGCUGGAGGUGAUGGUGUGGCUGGAGGUGAUGGUGAUGCUGGAGGUGAUGGUGUGGCUGGAGGUGAUGGUGUGGCUGGAGGUGACGAUGUUCUUGGUGAUGACGGUGAUGUAUUUGUCUUUAUUUAACUGCCUCAGAGCAGAGCUGAAAACAGAUAUUUAAUACCUCUGUCAGGAAGAGAGAAGAGGAAAGGAGAUGGAGAGAGAGAGAGAGCGGGAGAGAGAUAGAGAGAGAGAGAGAGAGAGAGAGAGGACAGGGCAAAAAAGGAGCAUCUGGUUACUAUAAGGUACAGAAGGGGGGGGGUGAAUUUAUUGACACAGAGAACUUGAUUGGGAGAGAAAAAGGGGAAGAGGGUGGAAGACAGAGUGGGGGGUCAAUGUGUUCAGGGCUCAAUAUUGAUCAUGUGAGGGUUGCGGUUAGGUGAUGUUUAGGGUUUAGGGUUAGGGUUUAGGGUUAG